Molecule: long non-coding RNA, 791 nt
Organism: Syngnathoides biaculeatus (alligator pipefish)
Lineage: Eukaryota; Metazoa; Chordata; Actinopteri; Syngnathiformes; Syngnathidae
Exons: 4
Source: RefSeq, a predicted model, not a curated record
GAUUGAUGAAUGUAUAUUAGUUAAAAUGUCCAGUAAGACGCAACAUUCGUGGGUAAAUAAUAAUAAUAAUGUCAGCAAUUUGACAAUCGCUCCACUUCUGUGAAUGCAAUGCAACUUGAGCAUCCAUCCGUUCCAAGUGUCCUUGAGCAAGCAACGCUGUGUCCAUUUAUGUGUAAAUCCAAAUGAGCGCCAUUAGAGGAACUCUUAUUUAAUCAAGCGCUUCCAAAACAACAAAUACGACAACAAGCAUCAUUUUUCGUCAGGCAUGUCACCGAACGGCCUCGGAUAAAGCGCAAGAACCAACGCUAUCUGUGUACAGACUCACCUUACGCAUCCGUAGGCCCUCUCGCUCGCGGCUGUCCUCCAUGUCGCAGAAGUAGAGGCGGGCCACGAAGAUCCUGAGCCGAAGGUUGGGCAUCCGCCUGAGGAACUGCGACACAGUGACGGAGCAAUUUGCGCAGGGAGACCAGGAGCAGAACCAAGUGAUGGAGUAGCUGAGCCUCUGGUGUCCCUCCCCACUACCCCAGACUCCAGGGCACAAGGCCCCCAGGUAGCGCAGAAACAGCAGCUACAGGCCCCCAUCACGUACGCCUCAACUACUCACCUCUACAUGGCAGCCAUUUCGAUUACGAAGGUGUCCAAAGUCAAAGGUCAUGGAGUCUGGCCCCACUCGCCUCUUCACAGCAAAGCACAGGGGGGGAACCGAGAACCUAUAUAUCAUCAUAAACAUCCUGCAUUCGACAGAAGCAGCUUCUGGUUGGACAGAAAUAUUUUUUAAAGUUUGAUUUUAG